Long non-coding RNA from Amphimedon queenslandica, 136 nucleotides. RefSeq lists it as uncharacterized. NCBI's taxonomy places the organism in Eukaryota, Metazoa, Porifera, Demospongiae, Haplosclerida, Niphatidae. The transcript is spliced from 2 exons. The record is from RefSeq and is a predicted model, not a curated record.
GAGGGGCUGGCUACGCGAGACUAUUGAGCCUGUGUAAAUCUUCAGGAAUUCUUUAUGGCUUAUCUGACAGUCAGGAUGUCCUUUAUAAUUUUAUUAGAACAGUUAAGGAAGAACUAGUCCUACAGUUUUUAUCCUA